This 277-nucleotide ribosomal RNA is filed under the name uncultured Bacillota bacterium. Its description in RNAcentral is "uncultured Firmicutes bacterium partial 16S ribosomal RNA". It matches the Rfam family "Bacterial small subunit ribosomal RNA", at positions 62 to 339 of the family's 1533-position model. The record is from RNAcentral. Lineage: Bacteria; Bacillati; Bacillota.
UUGCAUUGGAAGAUAGAUACUUCUCAGUGGCGAACGGGUGAGUAACACGUAGGUAACCUGCCCAUGUGCCCGGGAUAAUUUCUGGAAACGGAAACUAAAACCGGAUAGGUAAUAGAGAAGCAUUUCUGUAUUAUUAAAGAAGCCUCAAAGCUUUGAACAUGGAUGGACCUGCGGUGCAUUAGCUAGUUGGUAAGGUAACGGCCUACCAAGGCGACGAUGCAUAGCCGACCUGAGAGGGCGAACGGCCACAUUGGGACUGAGACACGGCCCAAACUCC